GGAAUUUUGCGCAAUGGGGGAAACCCUGACGCAGCAACGCCAUGUGUGGGAUGAAGCAUUUCGGUGUGUAGACCACUGUCGGCAGGGAAUAAAGCCCACAUUUAUGUGGGGGUGAAGGUACCUGCAGAGGAAGCCCCGGCUAACUUCGUGCCAGCAGCCGCGGUAAUACGAGGGGGGCAAGUGUUGUUCGGAAUCACUGGGCGGAAAGGGAGCGUAGGCGGAUGCUUAAGUUGGAUGUUUAAAACCGGGGCCCAACCUCGGAGCGGCAUCCAAAACUGGGCAUCUCGAAUGGAACAGAGGCUAGUGGAAUUGGGGGUGUAGCGGUGGAAUGCGUAGAGAUCCCCAAGAACACCAAUUGCGAAGGCAGCUAGCUGGGUUCACAUUGACGCUGAGGCUCGAAAGCAUGGGGAGCAAA
Molecule: ribosomal RNA, 415 nt
Filed under: uncultured bacterium
Lineage: Bacteria
Description: bacterial SSU rRNA
Rfam family: Bacterial small subunit ribosomal RNA
Source: RNAcentral